This 460-nucleotide ribosomal RNA is filed under the name uncultured bacterium. RNAcentral describes it as "partial 16S ribosomal RNA". It matches the Rfam family "Bacterial small subunit ribosomal RNA", at positions 338 to 795 of the family's 1533-position model. The record is from RNAcentral.
CCUACGGGAGGCAGCAGUGAGGAAUAUUGGUCAAUGGACGAGAGUCUGAACCAGCCAAGUAGCGUGAAGGAUGACUGCCCUAUGGGUUGUAAACUUCUUUUAUCUGGGAAUAAAAUGUUCCACGUGUGGGAUUUUGUAUGUACCAUAUAAAUAAGGAUCGGCUAACUCCGUGCCAGCAGCCGCGGUAAUACGGAGGAUCCGAGCGUUGUCCGGAUUUUUUGGGUUUAAAGGGAGCGUAGGUGGAUUGUUAAGUCAGUUGUGAAAGUUUGCGGCUCAACCGUAAAAUUGCAGUUGAAACUGGCAGUCUUGAGUACAGUAGAGGUGGGCGGAAUUCGUGGUGUAGCGGUGAAAUGCUUAGAUAUCACGAAGAACUCCGAUUGCGAAGGCAGCUCACUGGACUGCAACUGACACUGAGGCUCGAAAGUGUGGGUAUCAAACAGGAUUAGAUACCCCUGUAGUC